GAUGAACGCUAGCGGCAGGCCUAACACAUGCAAGUCGAACGGUAACAUAGAGAAGCUUGCUUUUCUGAUGACGAGUGGCGCACGGGUGCGUAACGCGUAUAGAACCUACCCUUUACAGGGGGAUAGCCCGGAGAAAUUCGGAUUAAUACCCCAUAGUACUACGAAGAGGCAUCUCUUUGUGGUUAAAGUAUUACGGUAAAGGAUGGCUAUGCGUCCUAUUAGUUCGUAGGUGAGGUAACGGCUCACCUAGACUUCGAUAGGUAGGGGCCCUGAGAGGGGGAUCCCCCACACUGGUACUGAGACACGGACCAGACUCCUACGGGAGGCAGCAGUGAGGAAUAUUGGACAAUGGUCGGGAGACUGAUCCAGCCAUGCCGCGUGCAGGAAGACUGCCCUAUGGGUUGUAAACUGCUUUUUUACGGGAAGAAUAAUACCCACGUGUGGGUAGAUGACGGUACCGUACGAAUAAGGACCG
This 475-nucleotide ribosomal RNA is filed under the name uncultured bacterium. RNAcentral's name for it is "bacterial SSU rRNA". It matches the Rfam family "Bacterial small subunit ribosomal RNA", at positions 28 to 495 of the family's 1533-position model. The record is from RNAcentral.